This is a long non-coding RNA of Piliocolobus tephrosceles (Ugandan red Colobus), 2155 nucleotides long. Lineage: Eukaryota; Metazoa; Chordata; Mammalia; Primates; Cercopithecidae. The record is from Ensembl.
AUGAAUUACAUAAGCUCUGACACAAAGGGUGAAUAUGAAGCUUUAAUUAAUGGAUCCGACAUUGAUGAUAAAAAAUGUAUAAAUAACAAUGAUGAGAAUUGUAAUAGUAUAACGGGAAAACAAACAAGUAAUAAUGAUAACGUUGGUAAUAUAAAUGAUAUGGAUAAAAAUGAAAAUUUAAAUAUAGUUGGCUCCCCAUUAACAUAUGUUGCUGAUAACGAUGGCGAGUAUAUGGAGAAUAUAAAUUAUGAAAAUAUAGAAAAUAUGAGAAGGGUAGAAACAGAUAUAAAGUAUUAUAAGUUCUUUAUUAUAUAUAUUUUAAGUUUAUUUGUUAUUGUUUUAUAUUAUUUUUACUAUGGCAAUUAUUAUCGUAUAUUAUAUGGUAUUAAUUAUAAUGGAAAAAUUUGUGGGAAGGACUUAAAAAAAUAUCCAUAUUUAUAUUUUCCGUUAUCACCUAAAAAUACAAAACACGAAAUAUUAAAUGAUUAUAUUAAAUGUUUAGAAUCUUGUCCAACAACCACUGAGUACGAUGAAAAAGCAACUGAAGAAGAACGUGAUUUACAUAAAAGUGAUGAAAAUAAUACAACAAUAGACAUGAAACCCAUAAGUGAUGAAGAGAAUAAUAAAAAAAAUAAAAAAGAAGGUUUUUUUAAAUCCUUAUUUCAUUUUAAUAAAAACAAAAAAAAUGUCAUAUUAGAUAAGCAUGGAAAUGAAACAACAAAUGUAGUAUAUAGUGAUUAUACAAAAAAUAAAAAUAAUAAUUUAUAUGUAGAAUAUUCUUUAAAUUCACCUUUUUAUGACACGAUUAAUAUUAUGAAUAUAUGUUAUCCAAAAGAUAAAACAUUAAGACAUCAGGUUAUUAAUACAAUAUUUACAAAUAGAUAUAAAACUAUUGUUAAUUUAUUUUCAUUUCAUAAUUCGUUCUUUUUAAUAUUAGUAUUUGUUUUCCUUAUUAUUAUAUUAUCUUUUAUCUAUUUAUUUUUCUUAUAUUUCUUCUCUGUUGGGACAUUCUAUUUUUUUUUCGUCUGCUAUUUUCUUUCCAUAUUAUUAAUACCUUUAUAUUUUAUUCAUAAGCACUUAUAUUUAAUAUUUAACCCAAUUAAGGGAUCUCUCUUUUCAUAUCAUUAUGCUAUAUCCAUUUUAAUAUGUUUCAUAAUAUUAGCACAUGGUAUUAUAUCACUAUUUAUAUUAUAUAUAUACAAAAAUACAUAUAAAUAUACAUGUAGAUUAAUAUCACUUAUUUUAAAUUUUGUAAAUGAUAUGUCUAAUGUAUUAUAUGCGCCAUUGACAAUUACAAUUGCAUCCUUUGUGUGGUUUUCUAUUUGGGUAUAUGCGUAUAUUCACAUAAUGACGGCUGGAGUGGUGGAAGAAAAAAGGCUAACAUUUGAUAUGGACACGAAUGGAAAUAGUCAAGUAGUGUCACUCCAGAAGGUUUUUCACUAUUUUAAAAGUUCCUAUUUAUUUUCUUUCCUUUGGAUAUGUGUUUAUUUCUUUGUUUGUGAGAUUCUCCAAUCACUAAACCAAUUUUCCAUAAGUUAUUUAGGAACCGUGUGGUAUUUCUCUGAUAAAAAUAAAUUAAAUUACAACCUAAGUACCGGAAUGGCAAUGAAAACAAUACUUAAUUAUCACAUGGGGAGUUUGGUUUUAUCAAGUUUUAUCACAUUAUGUACUAAACAUUUACGUAUUUUAUUUUUUUGGACUAAUAGCACUUUAUCUCUUCCCUUUUUUUUUAAUGACAUUAUUUAUAAUGUGAAAAAAAAAUUUCGUAAGAAAAAACAAAACAAAACAAAAUAUAUUUUUAUUUCUUAUACGUUAUUAUAUGUGUAUUUAUUUUGUUUAGGCACAAAUAUACUAGUGACCAUAUAUGUGUACCCAUUUAAAUGUUGUAUGCAUAAUAAUAUAUACAUAUAUAUAUAUAUAUAUAUUUAUAUAUUGCAUUUUUCGUUUAUUCAAUGCAGAUUUUAUUUUGGCCCCCAUAUCUAAACUUAUUGAUAUGUACACGACAUCUUCUUAUUGUGAAAUGUCUAUGACUUCAUAUCCUUAUAUAUUUUCGUGUCACACUUCAUCAAAAAGGUUAUUAAAUUCUACAUCACCGGCCGCUUCUAUGCAUGGAGUAAGAAAUAAAAUAAAAUAAAAAAAAAAUUAAAUAAAUAAA